This 468-nucleotide ribosomal RNA is filed under the name uncultured bacterium. Its description in RNAcentral is "partial 16S ribosomal RNA". It matches the Rfam family "Bacterial small subunit ribosomal RNA", at positions 28 to 507 of the family's 1533-position model. The record is from RNAcentral.
GACGAACGCUGGCGGCGUGCUUAACACAUGCAAGUCGAACGGAAAGGCCCUGCUUUUGUGGGGUGCUCGAGUGGCGAACGGGUGAGUAACACGUGAGUAGCCUGCCCUUGACUUUGGGAUAACUUCAGGAAACUGGGGCUAAUACCGGAUAGGAGCUCCUGCUGCAUGGUGGGGGUUGGAAAGUUUCGGCGGUUGGGGAUGGACUCGCGGCUUAUCAGCUUGUUGGUGGGGUAGUGGCUUACCAAGGCUUGGACGGGUAGCCGGCCUGGGAGGGUGACCGGCCACAUUGGGACUGAGAUACGCCCCAGACUCCUACGGGAGGCAGCAGUGGGAAAUAUUGCACAAUGGGCGGAAGCCUGAUGCAGCAACGCCGCGUGCGGAAUAACGGCCUUCGGGUUGUAAACCGCUUUCGCCUGUGACGAAGCGGGAGUGACGGUAAUGGGUAAAGAAGCACCGGCUAACUACGUG